RNAcentral lists this ribosomal RNA (230 nucleotides) under Tulasnella sp. RC 043. RNAcentral's name for it is "Epulorhiza sp. RC 043 partial large subunit ribosomal RNA". The record is from RNAcentral. Lineage: Eukaryota; Fungi; Basidiomycota; Agaricomycetes; Cantharellales; Tulasnellaceae.
ACGCUUGAAGUCAGUCGCGUCUUCCGGGGCUCAGCCUGGCUUAUGCCUGGUGUAUUUCCUGGUUGACGGGCCAGCGUCCGUUUCGUCCGCCGGAAAAGAACGGUUUGAAUGUGGCUCGGUUUCGGCCGAGUGUUAUAGCUUUCCGUUGCAUACGGCGUUCGGGACGGAGCAUACAGCGCGCUUUCAGCGGCGCUUGUGUUGGCGUAAUGGCUUUAAACGACCCGUCUUGA